GACGAACGCUGGCGGCGUGCUUAACACAUGCAAGUCGAGCGAUGAGAUCACUUCGGUGAUGGAUUAGCGGCGAACGGGUGAGGAACACGUGAAGAAUCUGCCUUCAACUCUGGGAUAACUCCGGGAAACCGGGGCUAAUACCGGAUAUGAGCCUUGAUCGCAUGAUCGGGGCUGGAAAGUUUUUCGGUUGAAGAUGACUUCGCGGCCUAUCAGCUUGUUGGUGAGGUAAUGGCUCACCAAGGCGACGACGGGUAGCCGGCCUGAGAGGGCGACCGGCCACACUGGGACUGAGACACGGCCCAGACUCCUACGGGAGGCAGCAGUGGGGAAUAUUGGGCAAUGGAGGAAACUCUGACCCAGCGACGCCGCGUGCGGGAUGAAGGCCUUCGGGUUGUAAACCGCUUUCAGCAGGGAAUAAGCGCAAGUGAAGGUACCUGCAGAAGAAGCACCGGCUAACUAUGUGCCAGCAGCCGCGGUAAUACAUAGGGUGCAAGCGUUGUCCGGAAUUAUUGGGCGUAAAGAGCUCGUAGGUGGUUUGUUACGUCGGUUUGUGAAAUUCAGGGGCUCAACCCCUGACUUGCAGCCGAUACGGGCAAGCUAGAGUUUGGUAGGGGAGACUGGAAUUCCUGGUGUAGCGGUGGAAUGCGCAGAUAUCAGGAGGAACACCGAUGGCGAAGGCAGGUCUCUGGGCCAAUACUGACACUGAGGAGCGAAAGCGUGGGGAGCGAACAGGAUUAGAUACCCUGGUAGUCCACGCCGUAAACGGUGGGCGCUAGUUGUGCGAACCUUCCACGGUUUGUGCGACGCAGCUAACGCAUUAAGCGCCCCGCCUGGGGAGUACGAUCGCAAGAUUAAAACUCAAAGGAAUUGACGGGGCCCCGCACAAGCAGCGGAGCAUGCGGCUUAAUUCGACGCAACGCGAAGAACCUUACCAAGGCUUGACAUAUACAGGAAUAUGACAGAGAUGUCAUAGCCGCAAGGUCUGUAUACAGGUGGUGCAUGGUUGUCGUCAGCUCGUGUCGUGAGAUGUUGGGUUAAGUCCCGCAACGAGCGCAACCC
Molecule: ribosomal RNA, 1059 nt
Filed under: uncultured bacterium
Lineage: Bacteria
Description: bacterial SSU rRNA
Rfam family: Bacterial small subunit ribosomal RNA
Source: RNAcentral